RNAcentral lists this ribosomal RNA (1540 nucleotides) under Escherichia coli. RNAcentral describes it as "bacterial SSU rRNA". It matches the Rfam family "Bacterial small subunit ribosomal RNA". The record is from RNAcentral. Lineage: Bacteria; Pseudomonadati; Pseudomonadota; Gammaproteobacteria; Enterobacterales; Enterobacteriaceae.
AAAUUGAAGAGUUUGAUCAUGGCUCAGAUUGAACGCUGGCGGCAGGCCUAACACAUGCAAGUCGAACGGUAACAGGAAGAAGCUUGCUUCUUUGCUGACGAGUGGCGGACGGGUGAGUAAUGUCUGGGAAACUGCCUGAUGGAGGGGGAUAACUACUGGAAACGGUAGCUAAUACCGCAUAACGUCGCAAGACCAAAGAGGGGGACCUUCGGGCCUCUUGCCAUCGGAUGUGCCCAGAUGGGAUUAGCUAGUAGGUGGGGUAACGGCUCACCUAGGCGACGAUCCCUAGCUGGUCUGAGAGGAUGACCAGCCACACUGGAACUGAGACACGGUCCAGACUCCUACGGGAGGCAGCAGUGGGGAAUAUUGCACAAUGGGCGCAAGCCUGAUGCAGCCAUGCCGCGUGUAUGAAGAAGGCCUUCGGGUUGUAAAAGUACUUUCAGCGGGGAGGAAGGGAGUAAAGUUAAUACCUUUGCUCAUUGACGUUACCCGCAGAAGAAGCACCGGCUAACUCCGUGCCAGCAGCCGCGGUAAUACGGAGGGUGCAAGCGUUAAUCGGAAUUACUGGGCGUAAAGCGCACGCAGGCGGUUUGUUAAGUCAGAUGUGAAAUCCCCGGGCUCAACACUGGGAACUGCAUCUGAUACUGGCAAGCUUGAGUCUCGUAGAGGGGGUAGAAUUCCGGUGUAGCGGUGAAAUGCGUAGAGAUCUGGAGGAAUACCGGUGGCGAAGGCGGCCCCUGGACGAAGACUGACGCUCAGGUGCGAAAGCGUGGGGAGCAAACAGGAUUAGAUACCCUGGUAGUCCACGCCGUAAACGAUGUCGACUUGGAGGUUGUGCCCUUGAGGCGUGGCUUCCGGAGCUAACGCGUUAAGUCGACCGCCUGGGGAGUACGGCCGCAAGGUUAAAACUCAAAUGAAUUGACGGGGCCCGCACAAGCGGUGGAGCAUGUGGUUUAAUUCGAUGCAACGCGAAGAACCUUACCUGGUCUUGACAUCCACGGAAGUUUUCAGAGAUGAGAAUGUGCCUUCGGGAACCGUGAGACAGGUGCUGCAUGGCUGUCGUCAGCUCGUGUUGUGAAAUGUUGGGUUAAGUCCCGCAACGAGCGCAACCCUUAUCCUUUGUUGCCAGCGGUCCGGCCGGGAACUCAAAGGAGACUGCCAGUGAUAAACUGGAGGAAGGUGGGGAUGACGUCAAGUCAUCAUGGCCCCUUACGACCAGGGCUACACACGUGCUACAAUGGCGCAUACAAAGAGAAGCGACCUCGCGAGAGCAAGCGGACCUCAUAAAGUGCGUCGUAGUCCGGAUUGGAGUCUGCAACUCGACUCCAUGAAGUCGGAAUCGCUAGUAAUCGUGGAUCAGAAUGCCACGGUGAAUACGUUCCCGGGCCUUGUACACACCGCCCGUCACACCAUGGGAGUGGGUUGCAAAGAAGUAGGUAGCUUAACCUUCGGGAGGGCGCUUACCACUUUGUGAUUCAUGACUGGGGUGAAGUCGUAACAAGGUAACCGUAGGGGAACCUGCGGUUGGAUCACCUCCUUA